RNAcentral lists this ribosomal RNA (445 nucleotides) under uncultured bacterium. RNAcentral's name for it is "partial 16S ribosomal RNA". It matches the Rfam family "Bacterial small subunit ribosomal RNA", at positions 354 to 796 of the family's 1533-position model. The record is from RNAcentral.
GUAGGGAAUAUUGGGCAAUGGAAGGAAUUCUGACCCAGCCAUGCCGCGUGCAGGAAUACAGUCCUAUGGACUUUAAACUGCUUUUAUUAUAGAGUAACCUGGGGGACGUGUCCCCCACUGCAAGUAUAUAAUGAAUAAGCAUCGGCUAACUCCGUGCCAGCAGCCGCGGUAAUACGGGGGAUGCAAGCGUUAUCCGGAUUUAUUGGGUUUAAAGGGUGCGCAGGCUGAUCGGUAAGUCAUGGGUGAAAAGUCACUGCUUAACAGUGAUCGUGCCUAUGAUACUGCCGGACUAGAGUUUAAGAGGUGUAACUGGAAUGUGAUGUGUAGCGGUGAAAUGCUUAGAUAUGUCACAGAACGCCAAUCGUGAAGACAGGUUACAAACUUAAUACUGACGCUCAUGCACGAAAGCGUGGGGAUCAAACAGGAUUAGAUACCCGAGUAGUCC